CCAGAUCCGAUCGUGGCACCCCGCCGCCCCCGCCUUCCUCUCCCUCGCUCAUCUUUCCCCCAGAUCCGAUCAAGGCACCGCCGCCACCCCCACCCACCACCGCCGACCUCUCCACCAUCUCCUCCCCGUCCCCCAUCGCGCCGCCAUCCACCUCGUCGCCUCCCAUCUCCUCCCUCCCCCACCAUCCCCUUUCGCCCCUCCUUCCCCACCCCCACAACAAGAUCGCCGACGCGACGACAGCAAUGGCGGCGGUGUACCGGGCGGAGGACAACCACGACUACCUCUUCAAGGUCGUCCUCAUCGGCGACUCCGGCAUCGGCAAGUCCAACCUGCUCUCCCGCUUCACCCGCAACGAGUUCACCCUCGAGUCCAAGUCCACCAUCAGGGGGGGUCGAGUUCGCCACCUGCUCCCUCUAUGUCGACGGCAAGGUCGUCAAGGCCCAGAUUUGGGACACUGCCGGCCGUCCCUAUCCCCGUCUGCUCGGCAACAGACAUAGCGUAUGCUUGACCAGCUCACUGACCUCCAAAGGAAGGAACAAAUGAUGUGUGAAGCGAAUAAGUGCCUUUGAAGAAGAGAGCUCUAGGUUGAAGUUAAAAGAAGGGAACGCUUCAUCUUUGUAGCUAGUUUUAUGUUCCUGGGUGUUGUACGAGAGCGGCGAUGGUAUGGACGAGCUCGCCUGCUCCUGGUAGGCAUACCAACGGGACAGCGACGUGUUUCAGCUUGUAUUAAAUGUGACCGUAUAGAAACAGGAUUGAUACGUCCAAUACAAACGUGGCAUACGCAGACAACGCCGUCUAAGCUAACGGUGGUCGGUGGUCCAGCUUGCACCUGUUCCGUUUGUACAAGGCUGUUUCAGCUUCAUGGGCGGAAAGCAUCCGCAAAACGUGCUAACAAGGCAAGUGAAAAAAUUUAUGUUCCUGGGUGUUGUACGAGAGCGGCGAUGGUAUGGACGAGCUCGCCUGCUCCUGGUAGGCAUACCAACGGGACAGCGACGUGUUUCAGCUUGUAUUAAAUGUGACCGUAUAGAAACAGGAUUGAUACGUCCAAUACAAACGUGGCAUACGCAGACAA
Molecule: long non-coding RNA, 1072 nt
Organism: Triticum dicoccoides
Lineage: Eukaryota; Viridiplantae; Streptophyta; Magnoliopsida; Poales; Poaceae
Exons: 4
Source: RefSeq, a predicted model, not a curated record